GUAGGUGGCAAGCGUUGUCCGGAAUUAUUAGGCGUAAAGCGCGCGCAGGCGGUUCUUUAAGUCUGAUGUGAAAGCCCACGGGCUCAACCGUGGAGGGUCAUUGGAAACUGGAGAACUUGAGUACAGAAGAGGAAAGCGGAAUUCCACGUGUAGCGGUGAAAUGCGUAGAGAUGUGGAGGAACACCAGUGGCGAAGGCGGCUUUCUGGUCUGUAACUGACGCUGAGGCGCGAAAGCGUGGGGAGCAAACAGGAUUAGAUACCCUGGUAGUCCACGCCGUAAACGAUGAGUGCUAAGUGUUAGGGGGUUUCCGCCCCUUAGUGCUGCAGCUAACGCAUUAAGCACUCCGCCUGGGGAGUACGGCCGCAAAGGCUG
This 373-nucleotide ribosomal RNA is filed under the name uncultured organism. RNAcentral's name for it is "partial 16S ribosomal RNA". It matches the Rfam family "Bacterial small subunit ribosomal RNA", at positions 527 to 896 of the family's 1533-position model. The record is from RNAcentral.